Molecule: long non-coding RNA, 1077 nt
Filed under: Anas platyrhynchos platyrhynchos (common mallard)
Lineage: Eukaryota; Metazoa; Chordata; Aves; Anseriformes; Anatidae
Description: lncRNA (ENSAPLG00000022786.1)
Source: RNAcentral
UAAAGAGUUUAGAGGUGUUAUAUAUGGAGUGGUAAUUCAUGUUGAGAAAAUGGUUGAUAUUAAUAAAGAAGGGGGAGAUUUGGGAGUGUGGCCAUGGGGGUUGGAAAGCUCCAUGGUUGAGAUAACAUUAGACUCUUAACGAUAAGGCCAUCAGGAAUAUAAAAGAGUUUAGAGGGAACAAAGAAGGGUGAUUCAGGAGACUCCAUGCAGUCUAGGGUUGCCACAUUCUUUUCCUCUGAACAACGUAAAUCUGCAAAAACAACAUUUCUAUAUCCACAUAGCCAAACUCCUUAUUAGUCAUGGUGGUGGGAAAGGCUGGCUAAGGACACCUGGCUUGAGGGAUAAAAAAGGUGGAUGUCCUAUGUUGACUCCAUCAGGUUUGUCUGUCCAGUUUUACACCUAAUUUAGAUACAGUCUAGAUGUGACCCUCUUUGUGGAAGAGGCUUUGCAGCAAACUGGGCAGGCCAGGAUUUGGAGACAGGCUGCCUGAGCAGCCUAGUCUGUCAGCGUGCUCUUCAGUGCUGCUGUGUGUGGAGUUACAGAUCUCUGCCCUUCUCCACCUGCUCACUGCUGUGUGGCUUGCCAGAGGACGGCUUUUCCUUUACUGGCCAGUUGCCAUCAGCUUGCUGCAAGCCAAGGCUGGCCAAGAAUCCUGGAAACGCUUCUGAGCUUUGGAGUCAUGCUGCCCAUCUAGUCUGACAGAAACCAUGAGAUCUCCUUGAACUAACCCCUGUUUGAAUUAGGGCAGGGUCAGCAGAGAAACUCGCAGCUUUAUUUUCAGGUUGUAAGUGAUGAAGAAUCCACUGCACCUGAUCAGAACUCACUGAUAAAUUAUUUCAUUAUAUUGUUAUCCGUUUGUCUAGCAAGGAAAAUUUCUCUAGUGUCACAUCUUUCUUGUGUAAACUGUAUGCUAUUUAUUAUUAUAUCAUAGUAUACACUAUUACUGGUUAUUAUUCACUGCUGCCUUUAGGGGAGAUUUCUUCCUGAUGUUCUCAGUAUCCUCCUAACUACAUCUGCUGUUCUUUAAUAACAUUGAAUGUAUUUAUAGCAGUCAUUAGCCUGCAUUUCGUACAAUAA